Molecule: ribosomal RNA, 253 nt
Filed under: uncultured bacterium
Lineage: Bacteria
Description: partial 16S ribosomal RNA
Rfam family: Bacterial small subunit ribosomal RNA
Source: RNAcentral
UACGUAGGGGGCAAGCGUUGUCCGGAAUCAUUGGGCGUAAAGAGCUUGUAGGCGGUCUGUCGCGUCUGCUGUGAAAAUCCGGGGCUCAACCCCGGACUUGCAGUGGGUACGGGCAGACUAGAGUGUGGUAGGGGAGACUGGAAUUCCUGGUGUAGCGGUGAAAUGCGCAGAUAUCAGGAGGAACACCAAUGGCGAAGGCAGCACUCUGGGACGUGACUGACGCUGAGACGCGAAAGCGUGGGGAGCAAACAGG